Molecule: ribosomal RNA, 450 nt
Filed under: uncultured bacterium
Lineage: Bacteria
Description: partial 16S ribosomal RNA
Rfam family: Bacterial small subunit ribosomal RNA
Source: RNAcentral
GUGGGGAAUUUUGGACAAUGGGCGCAAGCCUGAUCCAGCAAUGCCGCGUGCAGGAAGAAGGCCUUCGGGUUGUAAACUGCUUUUGUACGGAACGAAAAGGCUCUGGUUUAUACCUGGGGCUCAUGACGGUACCGUAAGAAUAAGCACCGGCUAACUACGUGCCAGCAGCCGCGGUAAUACGUAGGGUGCAAGCGUUAAUCGGAAUUACUGGGCGUAAAGCGUGCGCAGGCGGUUUUGUAAGACAGACGUGAAAUCCCCGGGCUCAACCUGGGAAUGGCGUUUGUGACUGCAAAGCUGGAGUGCGGCAGAGGGGGAUGGAAUUCCGCGUGUAGCAGUGAAAUGCGUAGAUAUGCGGAGGAACACCGAUGGCGAAGGCAAUCCCCUGGGCCUGCACUGACGCUCAUGCACGAAAGCGUGGGGAGCAAACAGGAUUAGAUACCCUAGUAGUCC